RNAcentral lists this long non-coding RNA (6125 nucleotides) under Phoenix dactylifera (date palm). RNAcentral describes it as "long non-coding RNA (PDAC_LNC003011)". The record is from RNAcentral. Lineage: Eukaryota; Viridiplantae; Streptophyta; Magnoliopsida; Arecales; Arecaceae.
UUAGGUUCCUCCACGCCCAUUAGCUCAAGGAAAAGCUAAUUUCUAUAAAUUGGGGAGGCUAAGCUCUUCUUAGAAGCAGCGAGGCUUCCCUGACUCAAACCAAAGAGUGAGCUUAGGAGAGAGGCGGUAGGGAGCAAUGGGAGGGUCCUCUUCCAAAUCCCCGUUUUGCAACUGCUUUUCAGCUCAGUAUGAAGAAGCUGACUCUGAGCCGAGGUGCACCUCAAGUAAAGUCAGGCCCAGUGAUGAGGACCGAGAGGGAUAUGUUGGCGAGCCGGACGUCGACAACAGAGCCUCUGCCUUCAUAGCUAAAUUCCAUGAGAGCCGCUUCAUGGACCCUGAUAAGCUAGUAGUGGCUUAGCUUCUGAUUUCAUAUCCCUAGUUUAUAUGUUUAUUACCACUUAUGAGAGCCGCAGUUUAUUACCACUUAUGUUUAUAUGUUUCCUCCUUCGAUCUGUAGUAGGUUGAUGUGCUUCUUGUAUUCUCGUAUCACCAUCGAGGGAAAUAAUAAGGAUAUCAUGAGAUUUAAUCGUGAGAUAUCGUUCUGUUGGUAUAUUGUGCGUUUGCUUUUAGAUUCUGCAAUAAGGAACGUUUGGAAUCAAAGUUAGCUCUUUACUCAAGACUGUUAAUCCGUUCAAGAUACAAGUUGUUAAUUGAUAGGAAUUGUAUUGCGAUGCGAAGCGCCAUGGUUACAGUUUACCAGAGCGAUGCCAUUUUCAGUGCUCUCUUUGUCGAGUAGCAUCCAGAUGGUGAUCGCCUGUUGGAGUUUUUUGGUUGUUGAUAGCUUGAUAUAAUUUUUUUCAUUAUGUUGCUAUCAUAAAAGAUGCAGUUUUUUUUUCAUUAAGUUUGAACCAUUUUGGCGAAGGAAGAAAAGGCAACUCAGCUUACCAUCAUGCACGGAUGUUUCCACUAAAUAAAUCAGGUGCGGUUGUUAAAUAAACAAUAAAAUGAUGGUAUCAUAACAAGGACAUGGAGAGGCCUUAUUUUCCAUUUCGAAUUUCCUUCAAUACGGGUAUUGACAAAACUAAAGUUAAUCGUUGAGUUCAAGAAGAUGAUAGUGGUAUGAAUCAAGGAUAUAGAAAUGACUGCAUUCUUAGUUGAAAAAUCCAACAUGUCAACUUCAAACAAAAUUCUGAUAACUCGGUCUUCGCUGGAUUUGUGUUCUCAACAUGAAAACAAAGCAGAAGAUCUCUUAGUUCGCGACCGAGUCCAAGGUUCCAUCAACUCGAUGUCCGAGAUGAAAGAUUUGGUGAAUCUUUUCUGGCGUAAAACAAAUGAUAGUUUCAUUAUGGGUUUUCUUCAUGCUUAUUUAUUCCAAAAAUAUCUUUAGUCUUAAGUUAUCAAGGCUCAAGUGAAGCUCGUCUAGUGUUUAUGCUGGCUCAGCCAAUUGCGGGACUCUAAUCAAGUUUACAUAAAAUUAAUUGUGAUAGGAUAUAUUACAGGCUGUAUAGCUGUGAGGGUGAUCUUCAUAUCAAAAGAAAUGGAUUAUUUGUCUCUAAGCUUCAGAUGCUUUCCUGAUUGUCAUUUUAAAUUCUUCGAUUCAACCGGUUUGGGCAUUUUAUUCUUUCUACCAACUUUUGUCAUCUUCUGUCGCUUUUCAUCAUUGCUCGACAACCUUUAAUGGCUGAGAAAGAACCAAUGACUUAAAGCUACUCCGAAAGAAUCAAAUAAAAGAUUGAACUUUACGUUUGCAGUAUGGCUUUGAUCUUAAAAUUUAACUGCUUGUGCUGAUUACGAGAACGCAUGUCACGGCAACUUUUUUUUAUUUAUUUGAAGUACUGGAUGAUACUAAAAGAAUUUCUGGAAUAACUGGUUGAAAACUUGGAGUGGUGGGGAUGAAAUCCCCACUUCUAAGCCAUGGAAUUUUGAAAACCAGAGGCUAGCGUAUCUCAGAUGUUCUUAAAGAGCCGGCCGGGUUGUAUUUUUUCGACUCUGUACCGCAACACCAGAUGCAACAUUGUUGAAUGAUAAAAUAUUUUUAAUAACAGACACAUUUACAUUUAUUUCAAAUUCGUUGGAGCUUAUAUUUUUAUGAAGAUAUGAUGCAUCAUCCAACAUUGCGACCUGGAUUGGUUUAACGGAAUCCAAACUUGACCAAACUAGUUGUCCGGUUCAGCUUCAGCCUUUAUAUUCCUAAGCUGAGUUGGUUUUGGAUGAACGUUACGUUCUAAUCCACACCCCAAUCCAAUCAAACCUAACUUGAAUUUUGCCAGCAUAUCUCCCAAACCAGCACAAUCUAAGGCCGUAAUGAAUCAUAAUUUAGAUCUACAAGACUUAUGAGCAAAUACUUCUCAAGAAAAAACCCUACACAGAUGAACCUAUGUGACCUAUGCCAACCAAACUUCAAUAUUGUUCCAAUUGAGAACAUUGAAGCCAGGCUAUGUCAGAUUAGGUCGGUAUUGGAUGGUUUAUUUAUUUGAUGCGAACUAUUGAAAAUAGAAGAAUGAGAAAAGAUAAUUAUAUUUCUGUGUAUGUAUUACAAUGUACAGGAGCAGUCUUUAUAUAGUACUAGAAGGCUGACUAAGUUUGGUAAUACAAUCUACCUUUAUAGAGGCCGACUAAAUUUGGCACAAUCAGUCUUUAGGAGGCCGACUAAAUUUGGUAAUACAAUCAGCCUUUAUGUAGCACUAGGAGGUCGACAACUAUAUUUGGCACAAUCAACCUUUAGGAGGCCGACUAAGUUUGGUAAUACAAUCAGCCUUUAUGGAGGCCGGCUAAGUUUGGCACAAUUAGCCUUUAGGAGGCUGACUAAGUUUAGCACAAUCAAUCACAAAUCAAUUAAGAUCCUAAUCAAGGAUAUACAUGAAAUGAUCUAGAAUGAUUCUGACAUACUCCCUCAAACUCAAGGUGGUAAAAGUGGAUACCAACUUGAGUUUGGAAACAAGAGAUCGAAAGAUACCAGGAGCAUGCGCUUUGGUGAAGACGUUCGCAAGUUGAUCAGCCAAAAUCAUUGGACAAAGAUGAAGAGUGCCCUCCUGUAAAUGUUGACGCACAAAAUGGCAAUCGAUAUCAAUAUAUUUGGUGCGCUAAUGGAAGAUAUUAUUAUGAGUAAUCUGAAUAGCACUAUGACUGUCGCAAUAAAUAGGAGUGCUCGAUUGCUGAGGAGCACCCAUAUCUUGUAGAAGCCAACAAAGCCAAAGAAGUUUGAAAGUAGUAUCAGUAAGGGCUCGAUACUUAGCCUCAGUGCUAGAGCGAGCAACAACCGUCUGUUUGUUGCUUUUCCAUCCUAUCAAGAUGUCAUCUGAAUAACCAACAAAAGCAAGAUGGGCCCACUCAUCAAUCUUGUUGCCACCUAAUGCUCUGAGGAAUGCUUGUGACAGCAAAGACAUUUUCGUCUCCUAAAGCAUAAAGAUAUCACAAUUUGAGAACACAAUGAGGUCCCUGAUCGCACUAUGUUUUCCAGCAGCCGCAGCUCCUCUGAUAUUUCAAGAUAUGACAAUCAUUGAGAAUAAGCAAUCCUCAACUCACUAAGGAAGUGAGAGUUCCUACCCCCAUCACAAUUUACGAACAAUAUAGAGAGAUGAAAUAGAGACCACUGAUUUUAGCAGCAAGUAAAAAAGCAAUCCACUCGAAGCAACAACCAAGUGUGAUCAUCAGAAGCAAGAGACAAUCGCAGUCAUUUGAGCGAUCAGUAGAUUCAUGAAGCUCCCAAAGAGAAGGCCAGCAAUCACGGGGAUAGCAUUGGCAGAGCUACAAUAUCUAAGAAAGAGAUAGCCUGAGUAACUACAACUACAAAGCAGCAGUCCAACAUCAAAUUGCCACAACAACAGAAAGGAAGAACAAAGAACAAAAGGAAGAGGAAUCAAUGGAUUUUGAGUAUCAUCGUUACCUUUCAGUCAAUAGCUUCAGCAACUCCUUUUAAGUAGCGGCAAUUGCAACCUUCUCUUUCUCCAGUUUAAUCGAUGUGUUCACCACCUCCUUAGCUACUUCUUCAGAGAAAGUAAAUCUCCAAGCCUUCCCCUAUUCUAAAAGAAGAUGGUGAGGAACAAAGCUCAAUGGGCGUGUAGCAUGGAGAAACUUGGGUUCAGCGUCACGAGUGAAGACUUUCUUUUUUUACCUUGUUGAGAUGAGUUUGGAGGUGGCUGCCUUCACAGUCCUCGCAGCCUUCAGCCAGGAGGAUUUAUGGAUUGUGGGUGCUUCAGAGAUUUGAGCCUAGUAUGAGACUUUAGAUCUCAAUUUAAUGGUAUAGAGAACUAAAUAACACACAGCGAGCGAGCGAGCGCGCGAGCGAGAGAGAGAGAGAGAGAGAGAGAGUAUUUGAUCCCAAAUGCGUUUUUUCCCUUUCUGAGAAGAAAGGUGUUUGGUCCUGAAUGUUUAUCAUAAAAUCAAUGAUAGCCCUCUUAAAAUUAAAAUCAUAUUUUUUUAAUUAUAUUCUACAGUCUAAAAUACCUAUAAAUUACGAAUUACUUGUUUGAAGAUCUUUUACCUCAAUCUCAAUUUUAUCAUCAGUCAAUAUGUAUUUCAAGAUGUACAAAUCCACAUUAAUAGUUUGGAUUGCCAAUACUUUAUUAUUUAUUUAUUUAUUUCGGGAGAAGAGAGGGAAUCCUAUUUAUAAUUUAGUUACCCAAGUUUUAAUUCUUGAGACUGCACCACCCAUGACUCAGAAUUUAAAUCUUUGAUUUUUUUUUUGUUUUCAAAGUUUAUGAUUUACAAUAUAGUUUUGCUCAGUAUCUAUGAUUCACUAAUCAUUAUAUAUCCAUUUGAUUUGUCAGCAACAUUGCAGAUUUUUACUUUCAGAGGGCACCGAUUAUUUUUAGUGUAAGAUGUUUAAGAUUAAAUAUUCUUAAAAACAUUUUAGCUUCAUUCUCAAGAAAAUGUGUUCAGGAAGGCGCAGAUAGAGACAAACUCACACACACAUAGAGAGAGAGAGAGAGAGAGAGAGAUGAACACAAGGCAGGUCAGGCGUAGCUUGUGAUUGGCUUGUCCAUAUUUUCAGUGUCUUAAGUUCAACUAAUUUAUCGCAUAACCAAGCCUCCAUAUAUUAUGAUCCUAUAUAGAGGGAUUCUCUUUAUUCAUUCGGCUACAAAUUGGCGAUGCAUAUGUCUUGAGUGUUAGACUUAGGGCUUGCUUGAUCCACACAAAAAAUGUUCUCUAAUUGAAAUAUUUUUCUGAAAAAGUUGAUGCUUAGAUAUGUGAUAUCUGAAAAAAUAAUUUUUGCAUUUUGGUUGACUAUGAAAAAAUGACAGAUUUUAGAUAGCUUAUUUUGGUCGAGCCUCUACAUUUCUAUGAAGUCGUAUAAAAUAUAUGCUAUAUUCUUAAAAUAAAAAAAAAAUUAUCUCAUUCUAUCUGAAUGCGCGUAGAUUUUUGUGUUUUUUGAAAGGAAAGGUAUGGGUAUGCCUUUUUAGCUCUCGCCAGUUCUUACAAAACAGAGUUUAUGAUACCGAAUGAAAAGCAAAGGAUGUCGAAAAGAUAAAUGUACCGUGUGCGGAGAUAUUAUUCCAACAUCCCGGUCAAGUUCGAAAGCAGAGGACUGAAAAGCAUUUUGAAUAAUUUCGCUUGGGUGUAUCUGGACCACCCGAUAUCUGCGAUUCGAAUGGCCUGCAUUUGUACAGAAUCUUGUUAGGUUCCCUCCACCCCCAUUAGCUCAAAGAAAAUCUAAUUUCUAUAAAUUGGGGAGGCUAAGCUCUUCUUUGAAGCUGCGAGGCAUCCCUGACUCAAACCAAAGAGUGAAAUUGGGAGAGAGACGGUAGGGAGCAAUGGGAGGGUCCUCUUCCAAAUCCUCGUUUUGCAACUGCUUUUCAGCUCAGUAUGAAGAAGCUGACUCUGAGCCGAGGUGCACCACAAGUAAAGUCAGGCCCAGUGAUGAGGACAGAGAGGGAUUUGUUGGCGAGCCGGACGUCGACCACAAAGCCUCUGCCUUCAUAGCUAAAUUCCAUGAGAGCCGCUUCAUGGACCCUGAUAAGAUAGUAGUGGCUUAGCUUCUGAAAUCAUAUCCCUAGUUAUCCUUGACGCAGUUUGUUACCAUUUAUAUUUAUAUGUUUCCUCCUUCGAUCUGUAGUAGGUUGAUGAGCUCCUUGUAUUCUGUUAUCACCAUCGAGGGAAAUAAGAAGGAUAUCAUGAGAUUUAAUUGUGAGAUACUGUUCUGUUGGCAUAUUGUGCGUUUGCUUAUAGAUUCUGCAAUGAGGAAG